AGUGAACGCUGGCGGUAGUCCUAACACAUGCAAGUCGAACGGCAGCACAGUAAGAGCUUGCUCUUACGGGUGGCGAGUGGCGGACGGGUGAGGAAUACAUCUGAAUCUACUUUUUCGUGGGGGAUAACGUAGGGAAACUUACGCUAAUACCGCAUACGACCUACGGGUGAAAGCAGGGGAUCUUCGGACCUUGCGCGAUUGAAUGAGCCGAUGUCGGAUUAGCUAGUUGGCGGGGUAAAGGCCCACCAAGGCGACGAUCCGUAGCUGGUCUGAGAGGAUGAUCAGCCACAAUGGAACUGAGACACGGUCCAGACUCCUACGGGAGGCAGCAGUGGGGAAUAUUGGACAAUGGGCGCAAGCCUGAUCCAGCCAUACCGCGUGGGUGAAGAAGGCCUUCGGGUUGUAAAGCCCUUUUGUUGGGAAAGAAAAGCAGCAGGUUAAUACCCCGCUGUUCUGACGGUACCCAAAGAAUAAGCACCGGCUAACUUCGUG
Molecule: ribosomal RNA, 492 nt
Filed under: uncultured bacterium
Lineage: Bacteria
Description: partial 16S ribosomal RNA
Rfam family: Bacterial small subunit ribosomal RNA
Source: RNAcentral